This is a long non-coding RNA of Hylaeus volcanicus, 1193 nucleotides long. RefSeq lists it as uncharacterized. Lineage: Eukaryota; Metazoa; Arthropoda; Insecta; Hymenoptera; Colletidae. The transcript has 2 exons. The record is from RefSeq and is a predicted model, not a curated record.
AUCAAGUUAAUAACGUACCUGUGCAAUUGUAAUUUCAUAUAAAAGUCUACAUUGUUGUGGAUGUAAUUCAACCGACCUGUUAAUUGCCAGAGAUUGUGUAUUAAUACCUACAGCCAAAUAUAAAGAACAAUUUCGAGUGUACAAUUCGAUUUAAAAGUCCGGUAUUUGAAACUUAGGGCAUGUAAAGGUUAAUAAAAUUGUUUGAAUAGCAACGAACUUUCUUCAUAUUCAUUUCGUUCUAUUUUCAUUACAUCUAACUAGAGAAAUCUAAUUAAACACACAACCUUCAGAAUCUGUGACCCUUGAACAUGAAUAUCAACCAACAAAAAAGAAAUUCUUGUUUAAUAUACAGUCAGUGUAAUAAGUAUUCGUACAGGAAUCAGUUCGAAAUAAAACUUCAUAUAUUUAUUUUAUUAAUAAAUUUUAGGGGAAGAAAUAAUUAACCAUCAUUCCUAGACAUUUUUAGAGUAGAUUUUGUGUAAAUUAAAGUUGAUUACUUCGAAUGUUAACCUCCUAUUUCUUAUUAGUUUUAUUUUAGUAAAACCCUCGAUUUAAAACUAGUCGUAGUUUUCUGAUCACUGCUUAUCAACAAACUUUUUUAUCGCGAAAUAAAUGUAGAAAAAUGACUUUGUACAUGGUAUUUGAGAAGGCCAACGUUACGUCAUACCCAAAAAGGGCACGUCGAAGGAAAGAUUACGUAAUACUCGAUUACGUAUAAGGAUCUUCGGAUAAACCUGUUGCAAUGCGUGAACGAUACAUGUUAGUCUGCGUAUGCAAAUGCUGAUGUAAAUAAAACUGUGUAAGGUUGUCACGUGAGACAAACACAUAGAUAGACAAUCUAUAUAAAGUCUAGUCGUCCGGUUAUUUCGGCAGUGAGAGAUACUGAACGCAUGGAAAACAUGUCACCGAUACUCGUCCUUUUCUUGGUUGCCAUCGUGAGCUCGACCGCGUUUGGCCAAGAUGCUGAAACAAAAUGCAUUCCGGGUAGAAGAUAUCACGAUGGAUGCAAUUCUUGCUUCUGUUCCGAAACUGGAGUACUAGGCUGCACUCUAAUGGAAUGCGUAUCAUUCGAUCCUAAAACUGGCGAAGUUGUGACAACUCCAAGAAAACUGGUACUCAUAGAAGAUGAGAGUAAACAGGUUGAAUCAAGUUAAUAAUGUACCUGUGCAAUUGUAAUUUCAUAUAAGAGUCUA